Molecule: ribosomal RNA, 1477 nt
Filed under: Synechococcus sp. NIBB 1071
Lineage: Bacteria; Bacillati; Cyanobacteriota; Cyanophyceae; Synechococcales; Synechococcaceae
Description: 16S ribosomal RNA
Rfam family: Bacterial small subunit ribosomal RNA
Source: RNAcentral
AGAGUUUGAUUCCUGGCUCAGGAUGAACGCUGGCGGCGUGCUUAACACAUGCAAGUCGAACGAACCUUCGGGUGAGUGGCGGACGGGUGAGUAACGCGUGGGAAUCUGCCCUCAGGAGGGGGAUAACGGCUGGAAACGGCCGCUAAUACCCCAUAUGCCGAGAGGUGAAAUGAAUUUCGCCUGAGGAUGAGCCCGCGUCUGAUUAGCUAGUUGGUGAGGUAAGAGCUCACCAAGGCAUCGAUCAGUAGCUGGUCUGAGAGGAUGAUCAGCCACACUGGGACUGAGACACGGCCCAGACUCCUACGGGAGGCAGCAGUGGGGAAUUUUCCGCAAUGGGCGAAAGCCUGACGGAGCAACGCCGCGUGAGGGAUGAAGGCCUCUGGGCUGUAAACCUCUUUUCUCAAGGAAGAAGAUCUGACGGUACUUGAGGAAUAAGCCACGGCUAAUUCCGUGCCAGCAGCCGCGGUAAUACGGGAGUGGCAAGCGUUAUCCGGAAUUAUUGGGCGUAAAGCGUCCGCAGGCGGCCCUUCAAGUCUGCUGUUAAAACGUGGAGCUUAACUCCAUCAUGGCAGUGGAAACUGUUGGGCUCGAGUGUGGUAGGGGCAGAGGGAAUUCCCGGUGUAGCGGUGAAAUGCGUAGAUAUCGGGAAGAACACCAGUGGCGAAGGCGCUCUGCUGGGCCAUAACUGACGCUCAUGGACGAAAGCCAGGGGAGCGAAAGGGAUUAGAUACCCCUGUAGUCCUGGCCGUAAACGAUGAACACUAGGUGUCGGGGGAAUCGACCCCCUCGGUGUCGUAGCCAACGCGUUAAGUGUUCCGCCUGGGGAGUACGCACGCAAGUGUGAAACUCAAAGGAAUUGACGGGGGCCCGCACAAGCGGUGGAGUAUGUGGUUUAAUUCGAUGCAACGCGAAGAACCUUACCAGGGUUUGACAUCCUGCGAACCUCUUGGAAACGAGAGGGUGCCUUCGGGAGCGCAGUGACAGGUGGUGCAUGGCUGUCGUCAGCUCGUGUCGUGAGAUGUUGGGUUAAGUCCCGCAACGAGCGCAACCCACGUCUUUAGUUGCCAGCAUUUAGUUGGGCACUCUAGAGAGACCGCCGGUGAUAAACCGGAGGAAGGUGUGGAUGACGUCAAGUCAUCAUGCCCCUUACAUCCUGGGCUACACACGUACUACAAUGCUACGGACAAAGAGCAGCAAGUUCGCGAGGACAAGCAAAUCUCAUAAACCGUGGCUCAGUUCAGAUCGUAGGCUGCAACUCGCCUACGUGAAGGAGGAAUCGCUAGUAAUCGCAGGUCAGCAUACUGCGGUGAAUACGUUCCCGGGCCUUGUACACACCGCCCGUCACACCAUGGAAGUUGGCCACGCCCGAAGCCGUUACUCCAACCCUUGUGGAGGAGGACGUCGAAGGUGGGGCUGAUGACUGGGGUGAAGUCGUAACAAGGUAGCCGUACCGGAAGGUGCGGCUGGAUCACCUCCU